AUUCAGUCAGUCAACAAGGUGCAUGACCUGCAGCUAGCCUUUCACACCGACCAAAUUGAGCCUCUAAAAGACGACCAAUUUAUUUGUAAUUACAUGAAAAGAUCAAGAAAAGCAAGAAGCGAAUAUGGAUUAAGUUUUUGAGCAAGAAUGCCACGAAUUUGCAAGGUUSACACACAAAAAGACAAGUACCUGAAGAUUGUAACUUYGAUAGCUGGACAAAAGUCGGAAAUACAGAUCACAGUCUACCAAGCUUAAAAAACCUGAAAUGCCAGAUGCAGUGAGAACUUAGAAUACUUGGAAACCUUCACGUUUCCUUUUUAMAAGAAAAUUGGAUUUAAGACUUUUGAAAUUCCUACAGAAUCAAGUAGUUUGGAGUGGAAAYGCAAUAUACAUCAACAAUCCUGAAGUGGCAUCAACGUCAAUGUCAUUGAUCUAAAGUGGAUAAAUCCUUACCAAAUAUUUCUACAYACGGUUCAGAAAUUCUUCCCAAUUGCCCUCCACUAACAUCUGAGAUGCACUGUAACACAUGCUAUCUCUACCGUCAUUUUAUGCUUAUUUUGGCUGAUAACCGGAGAUUCCACUAGUCUUACUCAAUGGGUGCUUACCAGUGAAAGUACUCUACAAUCUGGUUAAUCUCAAUAAAUGUUUGGCAACCAACUUCAAAGUUAUCUAGUUUAAUGGCAGGAUUAGGCAAAUUCUUGGUCUUGUAAUUACUGUGAGGUUGUAUGAAAAAGGCAAUUACAGCAAUACUUAGACUGGGCCUUUAACCUUAACAUAAACAUUCUGCACACCAUUUUACCAGGUGCGCCACUUGAGAAGUACCCGCAAAACAAUUUCCUCGAAGAUGGAUUUCAUUAGUCCAAUUCCGAAGAGUAGUUCAAGUUUGUCUGGAAAGUAUCAAAAAAAUGAAGGACUGGUCUUUAUUCGUAGGUGUGGCUUCGUUUAAUGUUAUUUGACAGAAGAUAAUCCGAAAAUUGAUGUUUCCUAUCAUCUAAGAUAUAUUAUACAUUGUAGAACUUUACACAAACCAUCUCUAAAUGAUCAGUACCAUAUCGAUAAUAUUAUUAUUAGAGUAACACGGCAGUUUUUCUUGUAUCAUCUUUAAGUUUAAUCAUAUCUUUCGAUGACAAAGAGUUUGACUAAGAGUUUUUCUUGCCCAAAUAUAGAUUAGCUUUAGUGCACUUGAAACAUGCACAUGUUUACUCCACGAACAAAAUGCUGCAUUUCCUGACGAUUACGUCAGUCCAUUAAAUGCCAUAGGGCUGAUUUUUGUUCUAGUUCCCACAAAAGAUUUUCAAGAUUACCGAAGCUAUUUUAAAAUAAAGAUUUUGCUUAAAUCCGCGAAUACAUUCUCGUCGUUAAUUAGGAUUAUGAGCUCAUAAGUACUGGAGUAUUUCCAUGAUUUUUACAACAUCAAUCAUUAGUGACUGUCGUAGUCUUUGCCUCUGUUAUUUAUUGCUUCAUCACUGAAUCAACAGCAUUAAAACCUACAUGUAUCUGAUACUAUGAAAACUUACUUUAUAAAAUAUACGAUUGAUGUUUAGCCUGCAUGACGUGCAGUCAUCAAAUAAUCAUCRAAUAGGUCUUUCAUGACAGCGAUUUCUAGGAUUCAUUUCUUAAAUUCCACUUUCAUUUCAUCAUAUUAAAUAUUCUAUCGUUUUAGAACGUGUUCUUUUUAGCAAUAUUACUAAGAACACUACACUGCUUUGCUAAUAACUUCUCUCUAUCCUGUACACGUGCGUAACAGUGUUUUCCGACGUUAKUUUCUCGAUGAUGUAACAUCACUGGGAAAUCAUUCAAGCAAAGCGUUUCACAGAGGAAAAUACCUUGUAGAUAUAAGAAAAUUGUGCUCYUUAAGACCACCACUAUUAGUACAUCUAGUCGUGACGUAAUAAAAGACUUACCGAGAACGCUAGUCAAAAGACAUGUUAUCUUACGAGAGAGUCGAUCAAAUCAAGGUCAU
Molecule: long non-coding RNA, 1963 nt
Organism: Exaiptasia diaphana
Lineage: Eukaryota; Metazoa; Cnidaria; Anthozoa; Actiniaria; Aiptasiidae
Exons: 3
Source: RefSeq, a predicted model, not a curated record